GUUGGUGAACCAGCGGAGGGAUCAUUACCGAGUUUACAACUCCCAAACCCCUGUGAACAUACCAUAUUGUUGCCUCGGCGGUGCCUGUUUCGGCAGCCCGCCAGAGGACCCAAACCCUAGAUUACAUUAAAGCAUUUUCUGAGUCAAUGAUUAAAUCAAUCAAAACUUUCAACAACGGAUCUCUUGGUUCUGGCAUCGAUGAAGAACGCAGCGAAAUGCGAUAAGUAAUGUGAAUUGCAGAAUUCAGUGAAUCAUCGAAUCUUUGAACGCACAUUGCGCCCGCCAGUAUUCUGGCGGGCAUGCCUGUCCGAGCGUCAUUUCAACCCUCAAGCCCCCGGGCUUGGUGUUGGAGAUCGGCGAGCCCCCCGGGGCGCGCCGUCUCCCAAAUAUAGUGGCGGUCCCGCUGUAGCUUCCUCUGCGUAGUAGCACACCUCGCACUGGGAAACAGCGUGGCCACGCCGUAAAACCCCCCACUUCUGAAAGGUUGACCUCGGAUCAGGUAGGAAUACCCGCUGAACUUAAGCAUAUCAAUAAGCGGAGGAAAAGAAAC
This 550-nucleotide ribosomal RNA is filed under the name uncultured Nectriaceae. Its description in RNAcentral is "eukaryotic LSU rRNA". The stretch from base 164 to 317 matches the Rfam family "5.8S ribosomal RNA". The record is from RNAcentral. Lineage: Eukaryota; Fungi; Ascomycota; Sordariomycetes; Hypocreales; Nectriaceae.